GCGGGUGUGGUGGAAUUGGUAGACGCGCCGGACUCAAAAUCCGGUUCCGCAAGGAGUGUCGGUUCGACCCCGACCACCCGCACCA
Molecule: transfer RNA, 85 nt
Filed under: Caulobacter sp.
Lineage: Bacteria; Pseudomonadati; Pseudomonadota; Alphaproteobacteria; Caulobacterales; Caulobacteraceae
Also listed under: 11 other names
Description: tRNA-Leu
Rfam family: tRNA
About the family: Transfer RNA (tRNA) molecules are approximately 80 nucleotides in length. Their secondary structure includes four short double-helical elements and three loops (D, anti-codon, and T loops).
Source: RNAcentral